UCCCYACSGUCCAAGUYGCAGCCAACUUUAUUGGGUCUAAAACAUCCGUAGCUUGCUUUGAAAGUYUUUUGUGAAAUUCUAUCUCUUAAGGAUAGAGAUUGCAAUAGAUACUACAUAGCUAGAGACCGGUGGACGUAAGGAGUACAUUUGAGGUAGUGGUAAAAUACGUUAAUCUUAAAUGGACUAMCAACAGCGAAGGCRCCUUACGAUGACGGUUCUGACAGUGAGGGAUGAAGGCUAGGGGCGCAAAAUGGAUUAGAUACCCAUGUAGUCCUAGCAGUAAACACUGUGCACUAAACAUUAGUACCUCCUCGAGAGGUAUUUGUGCUGUAGCGAAGGCGAAGAGUGCACURCCUGGGAAGUAUMGCCSCAARGYCRAAMYUUAA
This 386-nucleotide ribosomal RNA is filed under the name uncultured euryarchaeote. RNAcentral describes it as "partial 16S ribosomal RNA". It matches the Rfam family "Archaeal small subunit ribosomal RNA", at positions 474 to 859 of the family's 1478-position model. The record is from RNAcentral. Lineage: Archaea; Methanobacteriati; Methanobacteriota.